GGUUGAUCCUGCCAGUAGUCAUAUGCUUGUCUCAAAGAUUAAGCCAUGCAUGUCUCAGUACAAGCCAAAUUAAGGUGAAACCGCGAAAGGCUCAUUAAAUCAGUUAUGGUUCCUUAGAUCGUACCCACAAUUACUUGGAUAACUGUGGUAAUUCUAGAGCUAAUACAUGCAAACAGAGCUCCGACCGGAGACGGAAGGAGUGCUUUUAUUAGAUCAAAACCAAUCGGUGGCGGGUUCAACGCUCGUCAUCGUACAACUUGGUGACUCUGAAUAACUUUACGCUGAUCGCACGGUCAUCGCACCGGCGACGCAUCUUUCAAAUGUCUGCCUUAUCAACUGUCGAUGGUAGGUUCUGCGCCUACCAUGGUUGUAACGGGUAACGGGGAAUCAGGGUUCGAUUCCGGAGAGGGAGCCUGAGAAACGGCUACCACAUCCAAGGAAGGCAGCAGGCGCGCAAAUUACCCACUCCCGGCACGGGGAGGUAGUGACGAAAAAUAACGAUACGGGACUCAUCCGAGGCCCCGUAAUCGGAAUGAGUACACUCUAAACCCUUUAACGAGGAUCAAUUGGAGGGCAAGUCUGGUGCCAGCAGCCGCGGUAAUUCCAGCUCCAAUAGCGUAUAUUAAAG
RNAcentral lists this ribosomal RNA (628 nucleotides) under Trigonopterus garradungensis. Its description in RNAcentral is "SSU rRNA". It matches the Rfam family "Eukaryotic small subunit ribosomal RNA", at positions 6 to 609 of the family's 1831-position model. The record is from RNAcentral. Lineage: Eukaryota; Metazoa; Arthropoda; Insecta; Coleoptera; Curculionidae.